GUUUACGGGGGGAACGCGAAGAACCUUACCUACUCUUGACAUCCAGAGAACUUUCCAGAGAUGGAAGGGUGCCUUCGGGAACUCUGAGACAGGUGCUGCAUGGCUGUCGUCAGCUCGUGUUGUGAAAUGUUGGGUUAAGUCCCGCAACGAGCGCAACCCUUAUCCUUUGUUGCCAGCGGUUCGGCCGGGAACUCAAAGGAGACUGCCAGUGAUAAACUGGAGGAAGGUGGGGAUGACGUCAAGUCAUCAUGGCCCUUACGAGUAGGGCUACACACGUGCUACAAUGGCGUAUACAAAGAGAAGCGAACUUGCGAGAGUAAGCGGACCUCAUAAAGUACGUCGUAGUCCGGAUUGGAGUCUGCAACUCGACUCCAUGAAGUCGGAAUCGCUAGUAAUCGUAGAUCAGAUGCUGGCUUCCG
Molecule: ribosomal RNA, 419 nt
Filed under: uncultured bacterium
Lineage: Bacteria
Description: bacterial SSU rRNA
Rfam family: Bacterial small subunit ribosomal RNA
Source: RNAcentral